UCAAGGAAACAGAAAUGAUUCGUUAAUUCCUUCAUUUCCAGACUGGGUACUACUGAGCCUAUGCAGGUCACAUGAAAAAUGAUCCAAAGACUCGUACCUGGCAGAUGAACGAAUCAUUGAUCCGAAGACUAGGUUGGCAGAAGAACGGCUUUGCUCGUUAGUGCGACUCCGCAAGCGUGGUUCUCACACACCGCUGCCGGACAUCUUUAUCUCCAACGUGCACCACUCAGCAACAAACGGGACGAACUUUAGCUGCUGCUGGUCUAGUUGAGAUCUUCAAGCAAUUCCUGCCACCUGCUGCUGAUCUUCUUGAUUGCCUCUCCUCGCCUCCAGUAUUUAAGCCCGGUCUGAACUUCCAGUCUUCGGCAGUUCGUCAGUUACUCUUGUGUCUGCUUCUUCCCCAGUUUUACUCUGUGUCCUGCUUCUCCGCCUUGACCAGCUCUUCUUCCGGCCUCGCCAGUUCCCAUCCGGAGCUCCAGCCUCCCCAG
Long non-coding RNA from Gasterosteus aculeatus aculeatus (three-spined stickleback), 488 nucleotides. The record is from Ensembl. NCBI's taxonomy places the organism in Eukaryota, Metazoa, Chordata, Actinopteri, Perciformes, Gasterosteidae.